RNAcentral lists this Y RNA (112 nucleotides) under Saimiri boliviensis boliviensis (Bolivian squirrel monkey). RNAcentral describes it as "Y RNA (ENSSBOG00000000595.1)". It matches the Rfam family "Y RNA". Rfam says of the family: Y RNAs are components of the Ro ribonucleoprotein particle (Ro RNP), in association with Ro60 and La proteins. The Y RNAs and Ro60 and La proteins are well conserved, but the function of the Ro RNP is not known. The record is from RNAcentral. Lineage: Eukaryota; Metazoa; Chordata; Mammalia; Primates; Cebidae.
GUCUGGUUUGAAGGUAAUGAAUUAUAUCAAUUCAUUGUUAACAGUCAGUUGCAGAUUGAACUCCUUGUUCUACUCCUUCCCUCUUUCUUACUACUGCCUUGACUAAUCUUAA